Molecule: long non-coding RNA, 203 nt
Filed under: Setaria viridis
Lineage: Eukaryota; Viridiplantae; Streptophyta; Magnoliopsida; Poales; Poaceae
Description: long non-coding RNA (SVIR_LNC007206)
Source: RNAcentral
GAGCGGAAUGGGAAGGUGACCAAGAAGAACAACUAGUUUGUUUUUCAUAUUUUUUGUUCUAAGGGCGACUAAUGUUUUGUCGGCCAUGUAAUCCGUCGCCCGUACCGAAUGAAUGUAAUCGGCCAAUCUGGUCGACUUAUGUGUUUUGAACCGAUUUGUAUCGGCUACGUGUGAUCGUGUUACGGUCGAUUUCUUACGCUCCG